AGUGAACGCUGGCGGUAGGCCUAACACAUGCAAGUCGAACGGCAGCACAGUAAGAGCUUGCUCUUACGGGUGGCGAGUGGCGGACGGGUGGGGAAUACAUCGGAAUCUACUUUUUCGUGGGGGAUAACGUAGGGAAACUUACGCUAAUACCGCAUACGACCUACGGGUGAAAGCAGGGGAUCUUCGGACCUUGCGCGAUUGAAUGAGCCGAUGUCGGAUUAGCUAGUUGGCGGGGUAAAGGCCCACCAAGGCGACGCUCCGUAGCUGGUCUGAGAGGAUGAUCAGCCACACUGGAACUGAGACACGGUCCAGACUCCUACGGGAGGCAGCAGUGGGGAAUAUUGGACAAUGGGCGCAAGCCUGAUCCAGCCAUACCGCGUGGGUGAAGAAGGCCUUCGGGUUGUAAAGCCCUUUUGUUGGGAAAGAAAAGCAGCAGGUUAAUACCCCGCUGUUCUGACGGUACCCAAAGAAUAAGCACCGGCUAACUUCGUG
RNAcentral lists this ribosomal RNA (492 nucleotides) under uncultured bacterium. Its description in RNAcentral is "partial 16S ribosomal RNA". It matches the Rfam family "Bacterial small subunit ribosomal RNA", at positions 29 to 507 of the family's 1533-position model. The record is from RNAcentral.